Molecule: ribosomal RNA, 468 nt
Filed under: uncultured bacterium
Lineage: Bacteria
Description: partial 16S ribosomal RNA
Rfam family: Bacterial small subunit ribosomal RNA
Source: RNAcentral
GACGAACGCUGGCGGCGUGCUUAACACAUGCAAGUCGAACGGAAAGGCCCUGCUUUUGUGGGGUGCUCGAGUGGCGAACGGGUGAGUAACACGUGAGUAACCUGCCCUUGACUUUGGGAUAACUUCAGGAAACUGGGGCUAAUACCGGAUAGGAGCUCCUGCUGCAUGGUGGGGGUUGGAAAGUUUCGGCGGGUGGGGAUGGACUCGCGGCUUAUCAGCUUGUUGGUGGGGUAGUGGCUUACCAAGGCUUUGACGGGUAGCCGGCCUGAGAGGGUGACCGGCCACAUUGGGACUGAGAUACGGCCCAGACUCCUACGGGAGGCAGCAGUGGGGAAUAUUGCACAAUGGGCGGAAGCCUGAUGCAGAAACGCCGCGUGCGGGAUGACGGCCUUCGGGGUGUAAACCGCUUUCGCCUGUGACGAAGCGUGAGUGACGGUAAUGGGUAAAGAAGCACCGGCUAACUACGUG